Long non-coding RNA from Austrofundulus limnaeus, 1024 nucleotides. RefSeq lists it as uncharacterized. The transcript has 3 exons. NCBI's taxonomy places the organism in Eukaryota, Metazoa, Chordata, Actinopteri, Cyprinodontiformes, Rivulidae. The record is from RefSeq and is a predicted model, not a curated record.
UUUGUUCUUCCUCUWUUUUUUUUUUGUCUUUUGACACAAAAGUUGAGAAAUGAGAUUCUGUUUUUUAUUGGUUGGUUGUUGUGAGUCAGAAUGACUGGUGUUUUUGGCCAAACUGUAUAAAAAGAAGCAUCAGAUCCAAUCCUCUACUGAAGACCUUCAGCUUCAGCUCACAUCCAUCUCUGRCAGAGAAAAGACUCAUCAGCAAAGACAAGAUGAAGAUUGUUCUGCUGAUCACCAUCAUCUGCAGUUCUGCCUUCACUCUGCACCCGGAAAAACUAUGUCCUGUCACCCAGACGGGCAACACUAGAUUCAACCAGUUUAAUAAGAAUCACAUCAUUAAGACCAACUUUAAAACAAACUCAGUUCAAGAAUGGAAUUUACGCCUGAAAGAUUUGGGACGCGAACACACAUAUUUUCAGACCUUCAUAAAGAAGGCGAAUCGACCUGCUGUUGUGAAGAUCUGCAACGGUGAUGGUGUACACCAGGAUGGCGACUUGUUUACCAGUAUUUCACCAAUAUCGGUGUAUAAUGUAAGAGUUACCAGAGGCUCAGUUACUGAAGCCCCAAAAGCAACACAACAAUAUGUGACUGUGUCUUGUGAGACUGUUAGAAAACACUUCUGUCCUGUUCAUAUUCAAAGAACCCAAAGUAAUCCACCACUCAGAAAUGGGGUCCCCCAGUCCCAAUCUUCAGACGAGUGACUUCCACUCUCAGUUUUUUUUUCUUACUGGGCUCAGUAAUAUUGAGUAAAAMUAUUGCAGUAAAUUUGAAUGUGCCAAACAUCAAACAAAAAAGAAAAUUUCUUUAAAAUUACAUCGCUAUUAAAAAGACAGUUUGAUGGAGACUUUUUAAAACCCGAAUAAUGUUUUUGCUGCAAGCCGUGCAAAAUAAAUAAAAGCAACAUUUUUAUUUGAACACUUUUUGUUCCUAAGAACAGUUUGUGCUACAUUUCUUGCAUUUUUUUUUGCUUUGUGCUCUGAUAAAUAAAUUUUGUUAUCAAAUAAAUGCUUGARUCAUGAAUGAA